This 500-nucleotide ribosomal RNA is filed under the name uncultured bacterium. RNAcentral's name for it is "partial 16S ribosomal RNA". It matches the Rfam family "Bacterial small subunit ribosomal RNA", at positions 30 to 523 of the family's 1533-position model. The record is from RNAcentral.
AUUGAACGCUGGCGGCAUGCCUUACACAUGCAAGUCGAACGGUAACGGGUCCUUCGGGAUGCCGACGAGUGGCGAACGGGUGAGUAAUACAUCGGAACGUGCCCAGUAGUGGGGGAUAACUGCUCGAAAGAGCAGCUAAUACCGCAUACGACCUGAGGGUGAAAGGGGGGGAUCGCAAGACCUCUCGCUAUUGGAGCGGCCGAUAUCAGAUUAGCUAGUUGGUGGGGUAAAGGCCUACCAAGGCAACGAUCUGUAGUUGGUCUGAGAGGACGACCCGCCACACUGGGACUGAGACACGGCCCAGACUCCUACGGGGGGCAGCAGUGGGGGAAUUUUGAACAUGGGCGCAAGCCUGGUCCAGCAAUGCCGCGUGCAGGAAGAAGGCCUUCGGGUUGUAAACUGCUUUUGUCAGGGAAGAAAUCUUCUGGGCUAAUACCCCGGGAGGAUGACGGUACCUGAAGAAUAAGCACCGGCUAACUACGUGCCAGCCGCCGCAGUAA